RNAcentral lists this ribosomal RNA (258 nucleotides) under uncultured soil bacterium. Its description in RNAcentral is "partial 16S ribosomal RNA". It matches the Rfam family "Bacterial small subunit ribosomal RNA", at positions 26 to 297 of the family's 1533-position model. The record is from RNAcentral.
AGAUUGAACGCUGGCGGCAUGCCUAACACAUGCAAGUCGAACGGGAGUAGCAAUACUCUAGUGGCGGACGGGUGAGGAAUACGUAGGAAUUUGCCCUUAAGUGGGGGAUAACCCGGGGAAACCCGGAUUAAUACCGCAUGACCUCGAAAGAGCAAAGUGGGGGAUCGCAAGACCUCACGCUUUUGGAGAAGCCUACGUCGGAUUAGCUAGUGUGAGGUAAGUGGCGUCACCAACGGACGGACCGAAGUCCGUAACCGU